GUGAAGAUGAGCAAGCGGAGGUCAGCGGCUCUAACUGGAGUUCAGGGCGUCUCUCUGGCUCAGAAGCUCCUGCGCGAGAGACUGUGUCAUCAGAAGCUGCCGGAUCAGCCUGUGGGCCUGGACUCCCAGUACAAGCACCUGCUGGAGCUGCUGAGACGUACAGCUGUUCAUGGGGAGAGUAACUCUGUCCUCAUUGUUGGUCCUCGAGGAUCCGGUAAAACUAUG
This is a long non-coding RNA of Carassius carassius (crucian carp), 225 nucleotides long. RefSeq lists it as uncharacterized. The transcript is spliced from 3 exons. The record is from RefSeq and is a predicted model, not a curated record. Lineage: Eukaryota; Metazoa; Chordata; Actinopteri; Cypriniformes; Cyprinidae.